This 1107-nucleotide long non-coding RNA is filed under the name Physcomitrium patens. RNAcentral's name for it is "long non-coding RNA (PPAT_LNC013614)". Lineage: Eukaryota; Viridiplantae; Streptophyta; Bryopsida; Funariales; Funariaceae. The record is from RNAcentral.
UUGUGGAUUUAUGGUUAUAGAUGUGUGUAAUAUGUGUCAUGAAUUUGAGCUUGAUCUAACGGUUGAAUUGAAGAAUAUUGAUGUUUAAGUGAGUCAAGGUCUUAAAAAGUAGAAUUUUAGGUCUAGUGGGGGUUUUUGAGUUUUCUUGCAAUCUGUUGGUUGGAUUGGAGUGAAACUUGUGCGAGAGGAUAUUAGACUUGAUUUUCUAUAUAUGUAAGAAUUUUGAAAUCAAUCGAUCAGUGCAAAGGAGAGAUAUUAGCUCUGGAAGAUUGGCAUCAAGAUUAGAAAAGGACGCCAGUCAAUAUUAGAGCACAUUUUUGAGGUUAUCGUCAAUUUGGUAACUCCAAUCCUUUUUAACUUUUUUAUACUUGUUUAUAACUUAUUGUUUUAGAUGUGUGAAAAAUUUGAAUUAAGAUCAACGGUUUAUUUAUCAGUUAUUGAGGUUUAAAUCUGUUAUAGGAAUUACUAGAGUUUGGUUUAGGAUUUGGUUAGGGUUUGGAUUAGGAUUUGGUUUAGAAUUUAGUUAGGAUUUAAUUUAGGGUUUAGGAUUUGGUUUAGGAUUUGGUUGGAGUUUGGUUUAGGAUUUGGAUUAGGAUUUGGUUUAGGAUUUGGUUUAGGAUUUGAUUGAAGGUUUAGAAUUUGGAUUAGGAUUUGAUUAGGGUUUGAUUUAGGAUUAGGAUUUGGUUUAGGAUUUGGUUAGGAUUUGGUUUAGGAUUUGGUUGGGAUUUGGUUUAUGAUUUGUUAAGGGUUUGAAUUAGGAUUUAGGAUUUUAUUAGGAUUUAAGAUUCAAUUAAUUUUGGCCUAAAGUUUGAAUGAAGUUCAAUAGGAUUUUAACUAGAAUUAAAUUAAGAUUGAAUUGAGAUGUAUUUGAGUGAUAUUUGUGAUCCUUCUAAUAUUUCUUUAAAAAUUUCUAUUAUUUGUUUGAAAUUUCUUUAAGGUUUUUUUUGAAUUUGAUUAAGCUUGUUUAGCAAAAUUAUGGUCUAAUUAGAGUAUUUUUAGUAUUCUAUUAGAAUUAGGAUUUUGUUAUUGUAAGUUCCAUUCUUCCUUCCACAGUUAGGUGCCCGGAGCAUUCUCAAGCAAGAAUUCAUGUAUUACGACACCGAUCUU